CCUUGGUAUACAGAUCACUCUGACUGGUGGUUAGAGUUUCAGGCGCAUGUCCCUCAGCUUCAAUUCCAACACUCUGAUCUGCAGGCAUUGACAUCUCCUCAUCAUCUCUAACUUCAUGAGUGAAGUGUGUAGUGAACAAUCAGGCUCCUGUGAUGCUUCUGGUCUAUGACGAUCUACUUCCCCAACUGUAAGUGGGAGGAACCCACAAGGCAAGAAACCGGCACUUUGAAAGACCCAUGGGCGGGGCUCGUCAUGAUAUAGCUGCAAAACAAGAGGCCACCAGGCAAACUUGAAUGAAAGGAUGGCUCUACUAGCAGGGGCUCACCUGAAACUGUUGGGACAUUCCUUGCAUAUCCGGUCAAGACCACCUUUUCCCCUGCUGAGACGGUGAUGCACUUUUUGCUCUGCAGUUUCACUCUUCCAACUCUGCCAUUUUGUUGAUGGAUUUUGUGUCUGAUAUACAGAUGGUUCACGAGAGGUGAGUAAGCUCCAUCCCCUGUCUUGUUGCGAGCCUGUUUGUCCUGGUGUGAUAUGCACUUUUCAUACAGAAUGUCCAGUGUGUUGGUUCCUGUUAGCACAAGAAUCUCCAUGUUUGUUCCGCAGUUAGGCACAAUGAGCACCAGAGUAUUAACUUCUUCAGGCUCUCCUGUUAUAUUUUCAGGGGAGAGAAUGCUGACCUCAAUGUAGCCAAGAUAGGGCACUUCUUGACCACCAGCACCCUCUAUAUCCAAGAGGUCAUUGAGAGGUAAAAUUGGCUGAUGUGACAGGUGACUCUCAUAGAAGGACUUUGAUCCUGUGGUCACCUGUAAGCCUGUAUCGAGGAGGCUGUUAGAAUGAGAUCCUUCGAUGGUGACAGUUGCAGUGCAUUUAGGCCCUAUCAAUCCUCUAGGGAGGACAUCAGUAGAUGAUGGAACUGGUGUAUGGCCUUCACAGUUCACUUUUUCUUGAUUUUGUGUGGGACUUGGCAUGGUGUCAGGGGGUCCAGUUCGUCCGUCUACUGGGACCCGGUCCAGUUUAAAUUACCAUAUUUGGCUUUCCAUUCAUCUUGUCUUGCUUUCAGUUCUUUGUAUUUCUGAUCCACGAAUGGUUUAUUUGGAGGAUUUUCACACAGUCUGGCUAUGU
This is a long non-coding RNA of Anguilla anguilla (European eel), 1122 nucleotides long. RefSeq lists it as uncharacterized. The record is from RefSeq and is a predicted model, not a curated record. Lineage: Eukaryota; Metazoa; Chordata; Actinopteri; Anguilliformes; Anguillidae. The transcript has 3 exons.